CAGUCACCUGCUUGAGUUGGUCCACCCA
RNAcentral lists this small RNA (28 nucleotides) under Bombyx mori (domestic silkworm). RNAcentral describes it as "ovarian small RNA-13336". Lineage: Eukaryota; Metazoa; Arthropoda; Insecta; Lepidoptera; Bombycidae. The record is from RNAcentral.